This is a small nucleolar RNA of Vicia villosa (hairy vetch), 107 nucleotides long. The record is from RefSeq and is a predicted model, not a curated record. Lineage: Eukaryota; Viridiplantae; Streptophyta; Magnoliopsida; Fabales; Fabaceae.
AGUCCAUGAUAUGGGCAGAGUCUUAGCAUGUCCUUGUAUCGCUCCCAAGCUUCGAAAAGUGACUCAUUGCCUUUUUGGAUAAAUCCGUUGAUUUGACCUCUUAGCAU